CAACCCUCAAGCCCCCAGCGGCUUGGUGUUGGGGACCGGCGACCCCGGGCAGGCGUCGUCCUCCCCGCCGCCCCCGAAAUGAAUUGGCGGUCUCGCCGCGGCCUCCUCUGCGUAGUAGAACAACCUCGCAGCGGGAGCGCGGCGCGGCCACUGCCGUAAAACGCCCGACCUUCUCUCAGAG
This 181-nucleotide unclassified non-coding RNA is filed under the name uncultured Metarhizium. Its description in RNAcentral is "sequence contains ITS2". The record is from RNAcentral. Lineage: Eukaryota; Fungi; Ascomycota; Sordariomycetes; Hypocreales; Clavicipitaceae.